UCUGUCAGGUUUCUCUCCAGGUUUUGUCCAGGGUUUUGUUCCAAGGAAACCUCAGAGUAUUUUGUUUUUCUUCCUUUUUCUCAAGUGAAGUCUUGGUAUUUAUAGACUAAUAUUGGUAGCUUAGUGGGUUUUUGAGAGAGAUCCAAGUUUGAGAUUAUUUAUUUUUUUAUUUAUUUAUUUAAAAAAAAAUCGUUUUCCUUUUUUUUUUUCGUUUUCCGUUUUUU
RNAcentral lists this long non-coding RNA (224 nucleotides) under Lathyrus oleraceus (garden pea). RNAcentral describes it as "Pisum sativum (pea) long non-coding RNA (PSAT_LNC015631)". Lineage: Eukaryota; Viridiplantae; Streptophyta; Magnoliopsida; Fabales; Fabaceae. The record is from RNAcentral.